GGAGUCACGCCAGAAAUCUUACCCGGAGAGACAGCAGAAUGAAGGUCAAGCUGAAGACUUUACCAGACAAGCUGAGAGGUGGUGCAUGGCCGUCGCCAGCUCGUGCCGUGAGAUGUCCUGUUAAGACAGGUAACGAGCGAGAUCCUCGCCACUAGUUGCUAUCAUUAUUCUCAGGAAUAGUGGGGCGAAUUAGUGGGACUGCCGUUGUUAAAACGGAGGAAGGAGGGGGCCACGGCAGGUCAGUAUGCCCCGAAACUCUGGGGCCACACGCGGGCUGCAAUGGUAGCGACAAUGAGCUCCAAACUCGAAAGAGAGUGGCAAUCUCUAAACGCUACCACAGUUAUGACUGAGGGCUGCAACUCGCCCUCACGAAUAUGGAAUCCCUAGUAACUGCGUGUCAUUAUCGCGCGGUGAAUACGUCCCUGCUCCUUGCACACACCGCCCGUCGUUUCAUUGAAGUGAGCUUUUAGUGAUGUGACGUCUGAUUGGCGUUAUUGAACUUGAGGUUCGUGACAAGGGAAAAGUCGUAACAAGGUGACCGUAGGGGAACCUGCGGUCGGAUCA
This 564-nucleotide ribosomal RNA is filed under the name uncultured crenarchaeote. RNAcentral describes it as "bacterial SSU rRNA". It matches the Rfam family "Archaeal small subunit ribosomal RNA", at positions 908 to 1472 of the family's 1478-position model. Lineage: Archaea; Thermoproteati; Thermoproteota. The record is from RNAcentral.